UACGGAGGGUGCAAGCGUUAUCCGGAUUUACUGGGUUUAAAGGGUGUGUAGGCGGGCUUUUAAGUCAGUGGUGAAAUCUCCGGGCUCAACCCGGAAACUGCCAUUGAUACUAUUAGUCUUGAAUUUUGUUGAGGUAGGCGGAAUAAGUCAUGUAGCGGUGAAAUGCUUAGAUAUGACUUAGAACACCAAUUGCGAAGGCAGCUUGCUAAACAAAUAUUGACGCUGAGGCACGAAAGCGUGGGGAUCAAACAGG
Molecule: ribosomal RNA, 253 nt
Filed under: uncultured bacterium
Lineage: Bacteria
Description: partial 16S ribosomal RNA
Rfam family: Bacterial small subunit ribosomal RNA
Source: RNAcentral